UUCUUCCUGCCUUCUCUCAAAGGCACAACCCAAUUUUCUUUAAAGUUAUUCACCCCUAAAUUCUACAAAGCCCUGCCUCAUUUUAAGUAUGGUAGCCCCUGACUACUGAUACCCUGUCCAAGUGACGUAGGGCCCCGUAACGUAUGUCAAGGCUUUGCCUAAAUUCGUUGGGGUUCUGUCUCGUGACGUAGGGAUAAAGUAGAAUUGGGUUACUAUACUUGAUGUGGGUACACUAUAUAUUUUAUUAAAUAAUCCAGGAGUUGUACCCAAAAUAUAACAAACCUCCCGAAUAUUUUUCUGACACCCUACACUUCCUAAAAUACACCACAUAUGUGAAAACCGAGCCCGAAAUAUAAUAUAGCAUUAAAAAUAAGUGAAAAACAAGAAAUAGUAAGUUGAGGCGGGCCGCGUAGACCCACCCCAACCAUUCACGCGGGCCGUAUGAAGGUGUAACCGGAUUCCUUUGAUUUCUUAAGUCCAGGCGGGCCGCGUAAGGCCACACCGUUAGUUUACGCGGGCCGCGAGUGUCCCGAUUCGUGGCGCAGCCCGGUGAUGACACGUGUCAUCAUCGUGGCAGGUCUAGAGGAUGAGCCGGACAAGCUAGUCCGUUGACCAGGGUUGACGCGGGCCGCGUGACCCCUGUCCUUUCUUUACGCGGGCCGCGUGGGAACCAGAAUCAGCACCUAUAUAAGCAGGCAUCGGGUUUUAGUAUUCCUCGUUCAUUUCUUUUCUUUCUAAACGAAUUCUGAAGUAGUAGAAGUGAUACGCGGGUAUUAUACCCCCUAAUUAGCGAAGCUCUGCCUCGUUACUAUAACCAAGGAAUCACAAAGGAAAGCCUUAUAAUAGCAAUGUAACUUAGUGUAAAGCCAAUAGAAGCCAGCUGGAGAGCACUGAAGGCUUGGAAAAGUGGCAAUAAAGUUACCUAAAAUAAAAUAGAUGUUUUUAUUAAAUAAAAUAGGAUUUAUUCCUAUGAAAAUGUAUGUACUGAAAAACUUGGGUUUUAUCCCAUGUGUUUAAUAUAAUGAAAAGAAGGUGGUUUUACUCUGAUAAAAUAUUUCCUAACUACGGUCCUGAUGAAAAAUUCCGCUGCCAAAUAGACAAUACGCGAUACCACCGAAACUGGCUCACGGCCGCCCGCUCCUGAGGGAUCGGGGGUUGUGAAAGAAGGUGGUAUCAGAGCUAUGCCACUGGUUCAAGCCAAAGAAGUAGUAUAAGUAACCAAUAUGACUAGACGUACCCAUAGGCUACCUCGGCAGAUGUAUUAUACAACACUCUUAUACAAUUAGUAACUUAAGGUAUCACCUUGAGUGAGAUCUCUUCUUAAAUAAAUGAAUGUACCGUAAUAUAUAUACAUAUAUAUAUAUAUAUAUGUGUGUGUGUGUAUAUACUACUAUGUGUAUAUCAACCUUACUAGGAAAUAUUAAUACACGUUCAUUUUGUAAAAAAUAUUCAUAGAUCAUGGGUAUAAAUUUUAGAUAUUAAAUCUAAAAUCAUAAUUUAUGGUAAAUUUACAUAAGAAAUUGAAUAAUAUUAUGUAUCCACCUUAAAUAAAAGUAUGUUAUUUUAAGUUGAUUCAUAGACUUCAUGAUCUAUACCAUGAUCUAUCCUUAUGAAUGGCGGUAUAGAUUAUGGUAAAUUCCUGAAUUGACCUUAAAUCCAGAAAUCGUGUUAAUGUACAAUAUUAAUUGUAUGUAAAAUAAUUGUAGUAUAGUAUACUUCUAAUAAACAUACGUUAUAAUGCACUAUAAAAAAAAGGGUCUGAUGGUUUGUACAAUCGGUAUAAAAGAAAGUUAAUAGUUAGUGUUUUUAAGAAGUAAAAAUAAAGAAAAUAAAGAAAUCACAACCAAAGAAAGUGAUAAUAAAUGCACAAACUCAGGAAACAGACAAUAACCUAUCAUGGGAAGAUAAACAAUGGGUAAAUCUCCAUAUAUUAGCCACUACAGAAGUAAAUAUUAAUUUAUAGUUGAAUCGCAAAACCAGUACCAGCACCCAUGCCACCUAUGAGCCAGAAAUUUUAAAAGAAAUUUUGCCCAUUAAAUAAACAACCUAAAAGAAAAAGAUAGAAUAAAACCAUACAUAAAAGUAUGUUGAGCAUAAUACUCCUAUAACCUAGAUAGACUAAAAUAAGUUAUGAAUGCAUAAUUCCUAGUAUAUUUUGAACCCCAGUUGUAAUUGCAAUAAAUAUACAUAUAUAUAUAUAUAUAAGUCGCAAUGUUCGCCGUUUUUAAUCAAUCUAUUUUUAUGAUGGUACCCAAAUAGUUAUACUAGAAAUUUGUCUGUGAUAAUUAAUACCACCUAAUCAAAUAACAUUAUAAUAUACAUCAAACUAAGUUAGUUGUUAACAAAGCAAUCAUGUUCACGACUUUCUUUUGGAACCAAUCAUUUACUUUGGUUUAAAAUACAUAUUGAAAUAUAUGGUAUAAAGUUUUAAAACUUUGUGGUUUUAAAUAAUAUUGUCUCAAAAUAAAUUAUAUUUAAAUAAAUAAAACCGAAGCUAGUAAAUUAACCGAAAUGAUUUUGAAAAAAAAAAAAAAAAAAAGUUUGCUUUAGUGGAUUGAGCCAAAGCAAGUUUUUGAAACCCAUGUGUACCAAUUUUCCACUUUAUUUUAUUCCUUCUGGUUUGUAACCAGUUGACCAUAAGACUUUAUACUUUCAUAAUUUUAUGUUGGGAUUAUUUGUAAAGGUUUCUAUUAAAAUACUUAGCGAUAAAAUAAAUGGUUAAAUGAAUAUGAGGGAUAUUCAUGAUUAAAUAAAAUCAUUUAAAUUUUUUUGAUUUGGGUUGAUUAGACUACGUAGAAAUGUCUAACUAAACAUUAAAAGCAUUUCUACAAAUCUUUAAGGUAUGUCCAGAAUAUGUCUUAUGCAUGGAAAUAAUUGAUAUAAGACUAACCCGUCAUAUUAGUUAUAUAAUUGUGUAUCCUAAAUUUAUAAAGAAAAAUAUUCAAGUCAGCUGGUUGAUAUAUAAUAGUUAGUUAGUAAAUGAGUUGAGUUGAUAAACUGGAUGUUAAACUUACUUUAAGUAGUUUCGAAGUUCUCAUACUUUAAAAAGAUUAUAAUAAAGAUGAAAGAGAUGAGAUUGAAUUGUGAUUGGUUAAAUAAUGAAAAUGGAGAUUCUCAUAAAAUAACUGUAGUAAUAAAAUACCAGUGAUGUAAUCGUGACACAAAUAAAGUUGGUUACAUGAAUCUAUAAAAGAUCUAUUUAAUUAAAUACUUGAAAAAUAGAUCUCAAAUAUGUACAAAAUAAAGUAUUAUCUUAACAUAUUUUGAAUAUAAAAUAGACAUACUUUGAUAGUAUGGGAUGAAGUACGUUACAUAAGGU
RNAcentral lists this long non-coding RNA (3319 nucleotides) under Helianthus annuus (common sunflower). RNAcentral describes it as "hypothetical non coding rna". Lineage: Eukaryota; Viridiplantae; Streptophyta; Magnoliopsida; Asterales; Asteraceae. The record is from RNAcentral.